This 557-nucleotide ribosomal RNA is filed under the name uncultured bacterium. RNAcentral's name for it is "bacterial SSU rRNA". It matches the Rfam family "Bacterial small subunit ribosomal RNA", at positions 102 to 694 of the family's 1533-position model. The record is from RNAcentral.
ACGGGUGAGUAACGCGUGGGAACGUACCUUUUGGUUCGGAACAACUCCGGGAAACUGGAGCUAAUACCGGAUAAGCCCUUCGGGGGAAAGAUUUAUCGCCGAAAGAUCGGCCCGCGUCUGAUUAGCUAGUUGGUGAGGUAAUGGCUCACCAAGGCGACGAUCAGUAGCUGGUCUGAGAGGAUGAUCAGCCACACUGGGACUGAGACACGGCCCAGACUCCUACGGGAGGCAGCAGUGGGGAAUAUUGGACAAUGGGCGCAAGCCUGAUCCAGCCAUGCCGCGUGAGUGAUGAAGGCCUUAGGGUUGUAAAGCUCUUUUGUCCGGGAAGAUAAUGACUGUACCGGAAGAAUAAGCCCCGGCUAACUUCGUGCCAGCAGCCGCGGUAAUACGAAGGGGGCUAGCGUUGUUCGGAAUCACUGGGCGUAAAGCGCACGUAGGCGGACCAUUAAGUCAGGGGUGAAAGCCUGGAGCUCAACUCCAGAACUGCCUUUGAUACUGAUGGUCUCGAGUAUGGAAGAGGUUGGUGGAACUGCGAGUGUAGAGGUGAAAUUCGUAGA